Long non-coding RNA from Electrophorus electricus (electric eel), 540 nucleotides. Lineage: Eukaryota; Metazoa; Chordata; Actinopteri; Gymnotiformes; Gymnotidae. The record is from Ensembl.
CAAGUCUGUAACCAUGUCAAUAUUCCUCCCUCGCUUUUUACGCCAAAACAUGGCCUCAUCUUGGCUUUCUCAACCUGCGUAACGGUGUUUGCCUAUCGUACGAAAACAGAAGAGCCGUAAUUGCGCAGGAAUGACGAUAUUCCUAAAAUAAGAUACGGAACUUCAGAGAGUAUCCACCUAAGUGGCAACGCGUUUGUUUGAUUCUUUUCUUUCUUCUCGGUUUAUUACCAGUGUAAUCUGACAGGUCAGUACUGCGUUUAUAAAGACUUCCUAUAUCCUAAAGUUUCUCACUGGCACUAAAGGUGGGCGCUAUACUGCGACCAUCUACGGAUCCCGUGGAUAUGGAUCGGGCAGGAGUGUUAUCUUUACGGACAUGUCUUUUGCUCAGACUUCUGGCGACAGCUGCUUUGUGUGCGCCACAGCGCUGCGGGGACUAUUUUCAAGGACUAUGCAAAGCUCACCAGGAGAAGAGACAUCCACCAACCAUCACUGGCACUGCAUGUUCAGCUUCUACAACGCUGUCAGCCCUGUCCGGGAGAU